Molecule: ribosomal RNA, 765 nt
Filed under: uncultured bacterium
Lineage: Bacteria
Description: bacterial SSU rRNA
Rfam family: Bacterial small subunit ribosomal RNA
Source: RNAcentral
CUGGGCGUACAGCGUGCGCAGGCGGAUUGUUAAGCAAGAUGUGAAAUCCCCGGGCUUAACCUGGGAAUGGCAUUUUGAACUGGCAGUCUAGAGUGCGUCAGAGGGGGGUGGAAUUCCACGUGUAGCAGUGAAAUGCGUAGAGAUGUGGAGGAACACCAAUGGCGAAGGCAGCCCCCUGGGAUGACACUGACGCUCAUGUACGAAAGCGUGGGUAGCAAACAGGAUUAGAUACCCUGGUAGUCCACGCCCUAAACGAUGUCAACUGGUUGUUGGGGGAGUGAAAUCCCUUAGUAACGAAGCUAACGCGUGAAGUUGACCGCCUGGGGAGUACGGUCGCAAGAUUAAAACUCAAAGGAAUUGACGGGGACCCGCACAAGCGGUGGAUGAUGUGGAUUAAUUCGAUGCAACGCGAAAAACCUUACCUACCCUUGACACGUCCGGAAUCCUGCAGAGAUGCGGGAGUGCUCGAAAGAGAACCGGAACACAGGUGCUGCAUGGCUGUCGUCAGCUCGUGUCGUGAGAUGUUGGGUUAAGUCCCGCAACGAGCGCAACCCUUAUCAUUAGUUGCUACGCAAGGGCACUCUAAUGAGACUGCCGGUGACAAACCGGAGGAAGGUGGGGAUGACGUCAAGUCCUCAUGGCCCUUAUGGGUAGGGCUUCACACGUCAUACAAUGGUCGGUACAGAGGGUUGCCAAGCCGCGAGGUGGAGCCAAUCCCAGAAAGCCGAUCGUAGUCCGGAUUGUUCUCUGCAACUCGAGAGCAUG